ACUACGUGAGGCAGCAGUGAGGAAUAUUGGUCAAUGGACGAGAGUCUGAACCAGCCAAGUAGCGUGAAGGAUGACUGCCCUAUGGGUUGUAAACUUCUUUUAUAUGGGAAUAAAAUGUUCCACGUGUGGGAUUUUGUAUGUACCAUAUGAAUAAGGAUCGGCUAACUCCGUGCCAGCAGCCGCGGUAAUACGGAGGAUCCGAGCGUUAUCCGGAUUUAUUGGGUUUAAAGGGAGCGUAGGUGGAUUGUUAAGUCAGUUGUGAAAGUUUGCGGCUCAACCGUAAAAUUGCAGUUGAAACUGGCAGUCUUGAGUACAGUAGAGGUGGGCGGAAUUCGUGGUGUAGCGGUGAAAUGCUUAGAUAUCACGAAGAACUCCGAUUGCGAAGGCAGCUCACUGGACUGCAACUGACACUGAGGCUCGAAAGUGUGGGUAUCAAACAGGAUUAGAUACCCCUGUAGUC
RNAcentral lists this ribosomal RNA (460 nucleotides) under uncultured bacterium. Its description in RNAcentral is "partial 16S ribosomal RNA". It matches the Rfam family "Bacterial small subunit ribosomal RNA", at positions 335 to 795 of the family's 1533-position model. The record is from RNAcentral.